CCACGGCACAGUCCCCAAAGGGCUGAGGUUGGCCUAUCAAAGAGAAUACGAAGGGACAGAUGCUCCUGAGGAUUAUGUGAUUUGCACAUUGAUUUAUCUCCUUUGACCUAGAGGUUUCUCCUGACUCAUGCAAGUGUGAAUGCAGGAAAAAAAAUAUUAAUGAAGUUCAGCAGCUUUCCUUGGAAUUAAUCAAACUUCAAGAAAUCCUUUCUCAGAAAAUUUUGGAAUGGAUUCUUGUCUAAAUAAAUUUGCCAUAGUAAAUGACAUACACAAAGUUAAAGCCCCAAUCUACGUAAAAACAAAUGGUCUCUGAAGCAAGCAGCUCCCUUGGAACUGGAGGAAAAAGCCCGGUAUCUGCAAAAUGGCACUGGAUUAUUUGCUGAUCCAAAUGGUUAUCACACUGUUUCCUGCAAUGUCACAUUGUAUGUGCAAUGCCAACAUCCUUCAUCCAGGCAGAACUUUAUAUUUUAUGGAUGAUCUGAAGCACCAAAGAAAGCGUUAGACCUGAAGUGCCUAAAAACAAACCAAGAUCAGCGCAGACUGAAAAGCACAAAGAUCAUAUCUCUUUGUGCGUGAAAUUUCCAAAUCAGCCUAUGAAAAUUCUUCAACCAUAGAAGGUGUCCAAUAUGCUAUCACCUCUCAAAAGACUAAGUGUUUGGAAGGCGCUAAGCAAAGUGAUAGAUACUUUUGAUAAACUUGUAUUCUGUGUUAAGGUCAGUACAUAUUUCAGUUUUCACACAGUUUCAACCUACCAUUAAUUGAUCUAUGUUGAUGGAGGAUUUAUUAUUCACAUGUCUUUAUACCUAUCUAGUGUCAAUGUAGGACUUUUUUAAAGUUAUUUUAAAAGCAUUUAGGUAUCUACAAAGUUGUUUGGCACCUGAAUUCACUUAGCAGUAUCGCCCAUAAUUCAUUGUAUUUUGUAAAGUGAUGUUCUAUACGUUGUUAUAAAAAAUGAAGCAAUGAUGUCAUUCAUAAAUAAUUUCAUUAAUAAUUUGAGCACUUAUCAAAUACAAGUUACCAAAAAUUGACUUCAAAGGGAUGUUAAUGAUGCUAUGCUGUUAUUAAUAGCCUGGUCCUCUUACAAAAAUGUAUAUACUUGGUAUAUAUACUUGGUAUACUUGUUAUACAUACUUGGUAGGAUUUAAGAAACUGCCGUGCAUUCAGAAUUAGUCAUUAAAAUUAUUAGCUAUUCUUCAUAUUCCUAAAAUAAGAUAGACGAGUGUCAUACUAAAUACGUCAGAGAAAAGUGUAGCUCUGUCUGGGGCCUUGGCAAGUAAUGGUUGAUCCCAUCUAAGAAUUUUAUUUUAAAUAUUCAAGUGAAUUGAUUUUUUUGUUACCUCUGUAAGUCUGAUCACUUGAGUGUUUGUUAACGUAAUAACACAAAACAUUUGCAAGUCAAAACACAUUUAUCUUCAAACCUUGAAAAGUGUUCACAAGCUUUUGUCGUUUUUGUUUAUUGGCAGUGCAAUAUCGAAUGCUGUUUCUCACAGAUAAUGAAUGGCAUGUCUGGUAACUCUAUAUGAGAUAUUCUUAGAAGCUAAAGCAUUCUUAAAAGGCGAAUUAAUAAGAAUAGUAAAAAUUGACAUUGAUAGUAAUUGCAUCUAAAAAGUCAUUUUACGUACACUGAUGGGAAAAAGAAAGGUCUGCAAUGAAUAAUAUUUUACCCAGGUAGGAAGUCUAUUACACAGAUUGUUGUUGAUCGUUCUCAAUUUUUAACAUAUAAAAGGGAAAAACUGGUGAAAAAUGAUUUAGCUUUAAAGCUAUUUUGCUACUCUGCCAUAUUUCCCUCUACAAAAUGUCUGCAUUCUCAACAUAAACUGCAUGUUAACUUCAUAUAUAACUCCACAGUUAUGUACUGUGCCAUAAAUUAGCACAGAAAGUGAAAGCAUUAGCAAUUUGACACAUUGCCAGUGCUUAUGAUGUCAUGCAAUAAAUUACCAAACUUGGAACCUUUCUAAACA
Long non-coding RNA from Struthio camelus australis, 1961 nucleotides. Lineage: Eukaryota; Metazoa; Chordata; Aves; Struthioniformes; Struthionidae. The record is from Ensembl.